AUGUGCUCGCGGCCUAUCAGCUUGUUGGUGGGGUAAUGGCCUACCAAGGCUUCGACGGUAGCCGGCCUGAGAGGGUGACCGGCCACACUGGGACUGAGACACGGCCCAGACUCCUACGGGAGGCAGCAGUGGGGAAUAUUGGACAAUGGGCGGAAGCCUGAUCCAGCAACGCCGCGUGAGGGAUGACGGCCUUCGGGUUGUAAACCUCUUUCAGUACCGACGAAGCGCCGAUGAUGGUGGUGACGGUAGGUACAGAAGAAGCACCGGCCAACUACGUG
This 278-nucleotide ribosomal RNA is filed under the name uncultured bacterium. RNAcentral describes it as "partial 16S ribosomal RNA". It matches the Rfam family "Bacterial small subunit ribosomal RNA", at positions 225 to 507 of the family's 1533-position model. The record is from RNAcentral.